UGCUUUUGGGGGGUGGUCCCAAGGGACUACUGGGGGGUGAAUGGGCUUGCCUGGGCACCAGGCCACUUGGGCACAUGGCUCAGUGUUGUCCUUAAUGACCUAGGUGAUCUCAGCAAGCCACCGCCAGGAUCUCGUGCCCACCCCUGGUCUCGGUUUCCCUGUCCAUCAAAUGGAGCCAGUGAUAAUAAGCCCUGCCUGCCCUACUUCAUAGCUAAUGGGAGGAUCAAAGGAGAAAACGGGUUGGGCCAGAGUGCGCACCCUUUGUAGUCCAAGGGCCCACGCACAUCGGCUGGCCAGCCAGCCUGGCAUUCUCCAGGUGGAGUAAAGGAAGGGGAAGGGAUGCAGGGACAGCCGUCAGCGGUGGCCUGAGUCUGCUGGACAUUCCUGUCUCCUCCCCAGACUUGACAUAAUGACAAUAACAAGGUUUGAAAGGCCAAGUGCACAGCGCCCCAGAUUUUACAAAUUCCUUCCCUACCCAUUAUCUGAGGCUCUCCCCUCCACCCCUGCCUCAGGGCCUUUGCACCACUUCUUCCCCUGCCUGGAACACUCUUCCCCAAGGUGAGUGAAAGGUAGUCUCCUUCUCAGCCCCAGUUCACCUCCUCUGAAGCCUGCUAACCACCCAUUUAAAUGAACUUCUGCCCCACCCCUGGCCUCACCGACACUCUCCCUCCUGUCUCUGCUCCACCUCUUAAGAGACUACCAUGACCUUGCUCGUACAGGGGCCAUCCCUCCCUCCCCCCGCCGCCCCCGCCCCAAGACAUUAAGCUCCAUGAGGGCAGGAACCACCACUGCCUUCUGUGGUAGCUCUCACUGUCCUGUCUUACUGGAGGAGCCUGAGUCUCGAGAGGCCAAAUGACUUGCCCAAGGCCACACGGCCUGGGAGGAGCUAGGGGCCCUUUCCCGAAUGGCUCCACAACCGUACCAGCUGCAUCCUUGCCAGGCCCCACCCGCCACCCCCGCGGGGUUGAGCCUGUUGGUCGUUCCUUACACAUAGUAGGUGCUGUGCACGUAUCUGUUUGGUGCACUGUGGGGACACAAAGGUUUGCUGGACAGAAGAAUGUGCCACUGGAUUGAACAUGCCCAUCUGGUUGCUGCCCUAGGGGGCCUCUGGGCUAACACCUUGGGCCCCGCAUGGGGGCAUCCCAGGGGCCUCCUUACCCUGCCCAGCGGGCUGGCUGGCCUCACCGUCCUCCCGGAAUUGUCCCGGCAGCUGCGGGGGGGCCGGAUGCCCCACCCCCAGUGCCUCUGGGCCCUGAGCCCAGGCCGCAGGCGGAUCUGUGGUUGGCACUGCUCCUUCGCUUUGGGGUGGGAACACCACAGGGAUUUUAAAAAUAAAGGGCCUUGAGACAGUGGCCUGGCCCAGCCAGCCGUGGGGUGGGGGCCAGACGGGACAAUGGGAUGCUGAGCCUUGGGGGCUGUCCACCCUGAGGGAGCAGCCAGGCCAGCGGAGCCCCUUUCUCCCAGCCCCCCAGGAGUGCUGCUCCCCCAAGAACACCCCCUCCUCGCCUGUCCUAAACAUAGGUCUCUCACAUGCUUACUGAGCACCUACUACGUGCUAGGCUUCAGUGAGAGUGGGGUGGGGAGGCCUGGCCUCUGUCUCCCCUAACUCUGCUGCUCUCCCCAGGGUGGCCCCUCUCCUCCCCCCCCCCAAGCUGCAGGCCACGUUAUUUCUUGAGCACCUACUAUGUGCCAGGCUCGUUCUGGCCUCUCCCCUCUCAGCCUCUGUGUUUGUCUCUGCUGCUGUCACUCCCUCAGGCCUCUCCCCAUCUCAGGCCAUUUCUGUCUCCCUCUCUCUCCUCUGGCCCAGCUAACAGGAAGCAGCCGGAGAGGUCAAGGGCCGCUGGGCCUCCAGAGCCCAGCGUCUACACACACAGGGGCCUGUCUGCAGCGGUGGGGGGGACUUCCUGUUUAUGUGAAUCACAAGGACCCCUGGGGCGGUGCCUUGGACAGGACUCCGGGGCAGCCCCUCUAGUCCAGACCUCAGUCCCUCCCCGAGAGGCCCCAUGUGCUAGCUCAGACCCAGGCCGCUGCCCUUCCCCUGCACUGGGGAACGCGAGAAGGGAGGAGGAGUGAGGAGUCUUUGGAAUGGCCAGGAAUGUGGGAGUCGAAUGUCCAGAAUGUCCGCAGGAAGCAUCCCUGGCUCCAGGGCCCAGCCCCCACCAGUCUGGGCGCCCCGCCCCAUUCUCUCCCCCCCCACCACAGGGCCCUCCCUUGCUUGGAUAGGGGAGGGCUGUGGGAGCCCGGAGGGAGGAGGCCAAACCCCAUCCUGCCUCGCUGGGGCCACAAGACUUCAGCUCUGGCUUGACCGGGCUCUGGCAGCCACAGCCUCUCAUCUGUGGGCAAGGGCCACGAGCCAGCAACUCCGUCAGCCUCGUUCCUGCGCCGUCUCUGGAGGAUGGGGCAGGGGCUGCCUGGAGAUUUGGGACCACCGGAGAGACCACGGACCAAGACGUCACACCUCAAGGAAUCCCUCCGUGUUCUAAGCCCCAGGCCCUAGCACAGGUAUUGACCAAGGGCCUGGGGGUCAUGGCCAUUGGAAGAGGCAGGGCAGGGAGACUGGCCCUGUCCCUCUUCCCCUACCUUGCCCAGAAGGAGGGUGAGACAUUCCCAGGGCCUGACAUCCCUGGAAGCCAUUGUGACUCGCUCAUUCAUUCUGGUUUAUGGAACCCCUUCCACAGUGCCAGUUACCACGGACCGAGGGAAGUAAAGAGAAGCUUUUCAGGUGCUUCCUGGUGGGGAGACCACCGUGUGAUUGGGUCAUUCCUGCUCACUGGAGGGGUGUGUUGACAAAGUUCAGAAUCCACAGAAGAGCCAGCAAUGAAUUUGGGGCUUGGGGCUGCGGUGCGGAUAAGGGGAGACUUCAACAGUUUGUUCAACUGAGGCCCCCACAGGAGGAAUGACAGUGCGGGCUGGGCUCAGAUCCUUCUGCCACUUCUGAACGGUUCUUCUUCCAUCUGGGCCUCAGUAUGCCCACCUGGGACCCUGGGAUCAUGACCUGAGCCCGAGGCAGACACAACCAACUGAGCCACCCAGGCGCCCCACUCUCCUGGGGUUGUUAUGAGAACUCACAGGGUAAAUCACUUGGAGCUGUACCUGGUGUGUGGUCAGCCUGAAGAUGGUUUAGCUGUUGUCACUGCAGAAUGGUGGGUUCUGCAGGAGAAGCCACUUGAGACAUGGGUUGGAGCAUGCCUGGCAUGGGAGGGGGCGUUCCAGGGGAAGGGCACUGCCUAUGCCAAGGUCCAGGGGUAUGCAGCACAUGGGUACGUUAGACAUUGCUGGGGUGCAGUGAGAGGUGGGAAGGGGCAUUUGAAAUACUUCAUUCCUUUGGACAUCAUCCUUAGGGCAGCAGGGAGCUAUGGAAGGCUUUUGAGCAGAGGAGUGACAAGUUAGAUCUGAGCACCAAGAGUGUCCACAGAUUGGAGGACCCACCUGGAGCAGGAAGACCAGUGAGGAGUGGCACAAGGGUCCUGGGAAGAGAUGAAGAGGAUGUUUAGGGAGGGCUUUGAAGGGUGUAUAGGAGUUGUACAGGGGACCCAGAGGGAGGGGCACCCCAGACAGCGGGCCACUGAAAGCAAAAGCGUAGAGGUGUGAAAGAGCACACGUUUAGAAAGCAGUGGGUGUGGUGGAGUUUGGAUUUGGGGAGCAAAUAGUGGGGUCAGGAGCUGGGGGGCCUCGGUGCCAUCCAUAGGCUACUGGGGGUGGGAGUCAGUGGGCUGAGCAGUAGGAAGAGAAUUUAAACAUCUGUAUUGGUUUCCUGGGGCUAUUAUAGCGAAUGACCACAAACUAGGUGGCUUAGAACAGAAAUUUAUUUCCUCACGGUUCUGGAGGCCAGAAGCCUGAAAUCAAGGUUGGCAGGCAGGGCUCCCCCGGAAGGCUCUAGGGGAGAGUCCCUUCUUUCUUCUUCCAGCUCUGGAGCUUCCUUGGCUUGUGGAUGCCAUCACUUCUAUCUCUGCUGCUACCCCAUGGCCUUCUCCAGGUCAGCAUCCUCCCUCACAAGACGCCUGUCAUUGGUUUAGGGUCCACCUGGAUAAUCCAAGAUGAUCGCAUCUCUAGAGCCUCAUCUUAAUUACAUCCGCAAGGACACUUUUUCUAAAUAAGGUCAUAUUCACAGGUUCCAGGUGGACCUAUCUUUUAGGGGGCCACCACUCACACACGACAAAUGCCAGUGGAACCUGUUUCCCCUUUUCCCUCCUUCCUGGGCUGCCAGCCCCUUCAGUCCCGCCUCCUUUCACCCUUCCAUCCCCAGGGCCCAGAGUGUGAGUUCGCGUUUGCCCAGGCAGCCUCCCCCCACGCGUCCCUCCCUCCAGGAGCCAACGCCCGCAGAGGCUGGGACCUCGCGGCAUCCGCGGGGAGAGGGCGCCACCGUGUGUCCGUUUGGGAGCAGCGCGCGCGGAGGCUCCCGCCGGUCCCCUCCCUGCGCGCGGCGUGUGACGGCCACUUACAGAGCUCCCGCGGCCCGCCAGCCACUCCACCCACGUUCAUCGGUUCUGCUCACAUCAGAACGAAGUGGGGAGUAUUGUCCCCGCUUUUCAGCCUAGCAGAGCCCGGCUCAGAGGUCACACAACCUUCCACCCCCAUCUGACUCCAAAGCCCCGCCCCCUAUCCACUAGCCAGAGUCGAACCUGGGGGCAGGAGGGCAGGCCACGCAGACUUGGGCCGCUGUCUUGCCCCCGGGUUUCCUCGUCUGUAAAGGGGAGGGGCUGCACGUGAGCCCCACCCCACCCCCACCCCAACCCCGUGGCCCCUUGCUCUGAUCCCAACAGAAACCCAAAUGAGGGGGCGCCUGGGUGGCUCAGUCUGUUAAGCGGUUAGGCGGCUACCUUGGGCUCAGGUCAUGAGCUCAGGUCAUGAGCUCAGGGUCUUGGGAUCGAGCCCCGCAUAGGGCUCCCUGCUCCGCGGGGGGCCUGCUUCUCUCUCUCCACUCAUGCUCUCUCUCUCUCUCUCUCGGUCUCUCUCAAAUAAUAAAUAAAUAAAAUCUUUUUUUUUUUUUUUUAAGAUUUUUUAUUUAUUUGCGAGAGAGAGAAUGAGAGACAGAGAGCAUGAGAGGGAGGAGGGUCAGAGGGAGAAGCAGACUCCCUGCCGAGCAGGGAGCCCGAUGCAGGACUCGAUCCCGGGACUCCGGGAUCAUGACCUGAGCCAAAGGCAGUCGCUUAACCAACUGAGCCACCCAGGCGCCCCAUAAAUAAAAUCUUAAAAAAAAAAAAAGAAACCCAAAUGAGGUAGCUGUGGACCUUGCCGCUUCCCAGUACUUCCCAAAUAUUGGUCUUUUAGACAUUUUUUUAGGUGUUUAUUGUCUUUCUGUAAACCCUUUCAUAUGUGUGAACUAUUUAAUAGUUUUGAAAAUAUACUUACUGGAUAAAACUUCAUGCAGGCCUCCAGGUCCCCGUCUGAAAGACAGUAAGCUGAUGGCAGCUUCUUCCAGCUUCUUCAAGGGAUGAUGUGUGCACGUAUGUAUAUUCACACCCCCCCAUUUUUUUAAACAAAUGGUGGCAUGCAAUGUACAUUCUGCGUUUACUUUUGUCACUUAAUUACAUUUUUGCAUUUGACCCAUACUACAAUGUAUAAUUUGCUUUUGUGGGUACAAUUUUCUAUUGAAAUAUAACUCUACUUACAUAUAUAUAUAAAGCUCGUAAGUGUAUACAGACUGAACACGACAUGUAGCCAGCACCCAGAUGAAGACAUGGCUCGUGCUCUCUCUCUAAUAAAUAAAACCUUUAAAAAAUAAUAAAAAUAAUAAUUAGGGCCUCUGGGUGGCUCAGUUGUUUGAGCGACUGCCUUCAGCUCAGGUCAUGAUCCUGAAGUCCCAGGAUCAAGUCCCGCAUCGGGCUCCCUGCUCAUCGGGGAGUCUGCUUCUCCCUCUGACUCUCCCCCCCUCUCAUGCUCUCUCUCUAUCAUUAUCUCAAUAAAUAAAUUUAAAAAAAUUAAAAAAAAGACAUUGAACACCACCAGCCCCUCAUGAACCCUUUUUGUGCCCCCUUCCAACUCCCCACAAAGGGAACCACCAUCCUGACCUCUUAAAUUUUGACCUAUUUUUGUUCUCCGUGUAAAUAGAAUCAUAUCCUCUUUUGUCUGCAGCUUCUCUUGCUCAAUAUCAUGUUUGUGGGACCCCUCCGUGUUGUGGCCUGUAGCUGUACAUUAUUUGCUCACAUUGCUGUGUGGUCCACACUUUAUUUUAGCUAUUCUACUAUUUUGUUCUCUCUCUCUCUCUCUUUCUCUCUCUCUUUUUAAGUAGGUUCCACGCCCAAUGUGGAGCCCAACAUGGGACUUGAGCUCACGACCCUGAGAUCAAGACCUGAGCUGAGAUCGAGAGUCGGAGGCUUAACCAACUGAGCCACCCAGGUGCCCCUAUUUUAUCUGUUCUACUAUUGACGGACAUUUGGAGAGUUUACAGGUUUUGCCUGUUACAAAUAGUGUUGCUAUUAAUAGUCUAGUGUGAUAUGUGUCUGUUGGUGAGCAUGUUGGGUGUAUACCUAUGGAUAGAUUUGCUGGGUCCAAGGUCUGCGGAUGUUCUGUUUUAGCGGAAGGUGCCCUAAAGAUUUCCGAGGUGAUGGUAGCAAGCAAUUUACAUUCCCACCAGUUCUGAUUACUCAACAUCCUCCCUCACUUGCAUUUUCAACCUUUUUCGUUGUGGCCAUUCUGGUAGGUACAGUGCUACUACAUUGUGGUUUCAGUUUGCAUUUCCCUGAUUACUAAUGAGGUUGAGCCCCCUUUCAUGCAUUUACUGGCCAUCUGGGUAUGCUCUUUUAUCUGUGUAAGUCUUUUGCCCAUGUUUCUAUUGGGGUGUCUGCCUUUCUCAUAUUGAUUUGUAGGAGCUCUUUAUAUAUAUGUAUAUAUGUAAAGUAGAAACUUUCUGUUGUAUACGUGUAUUGUAAAUAUCCUCUCCCAUUUUGUGGGUUGUCUUUUAACUCUUCUAAAGUGUACUUUUUGUUGAACAUAUUUCUUUUUUUAAUUUUUUUUAUUUUUUUAUUUAUUUUUUUUCAUAUUUCUUUUUUUUAAAGAUUGUAUUUAUUUAUUUGAGAGAGAGAGAGAGAGAGCCACGAGGGGGGAGGGGCAGAGGCAGAGGGAGAAGCAGACUCCCUGCUGAGCAGGAACCUGACACGGGGCUCCAUCCAGGACCCUGGGACCACGACCUGAGCCGAAGACGGACCCUUAACCGACUAAGCCACCCAGGCACCCCUGUUGAACAUAUUUCUUAAUUUAAUAUUGGCCACUUACAUACAUAGGCUUUUUUUUUUUAAAUGGUUAGUGCUUUUGUUUUUGGUUUAAGAAAACUGCCUGUUCCAAGGUCAUGAAGAUGUUCUCUUGUAUUUUCUUCUAAGGCUUUAUUGUUUUAAUCUUCCACAUUUAGGUAUGGAAUUUAUUUCUGUUUAUGGUGUGAGGUAGAGUUUGUGGUAGGCUGAAAAAUGGGCUCCCAAAGAUGUGCCCAUCCCAACCCCUGCAGUGUGAUUGCAGAUGUGAUUAAGUUAAGGAUUUUGAGACAAGGAGAUUAUCCUGGAUUAUCUAGUUGGGUCCUAAAUACAACCACAUGUAUCCUUUUUUUUUUUUUUUAAGUUUUAUUUAUUUAUUUUUGCAAGAGAGAGAGAGCAUGCAAGCUAGCACGAGUGGGGGGGAGGGGCAAAGGGAGAAGCAGAAUCCCCCGCUAAGCAGGGAACCCAAUGUGGGACUCAAUCCCAGGACCCCAAAAUAUUGACCUGAGCCGAAGGCAGACGCUUAACCUACUGAGCUACUCAGGUGCCCCAACGACAUGUAUCCUUAUAAGAGGAGAGCAGAGGGAGAUUUCUCGCACACACACACACACACACACGUUUUCCCCAAUUCUGCCCAGUUGACCCAGCACUAUUUACUGAAAAGAUCAUCCUUCUGCACCACACUGCAGUGUCAUUUUGUCAUAGAUCAGGUGUGUGUUGUUUUUGGACUCUAUUCUGUACCAUUAGUCUGUUUGUCUAUUCUUGUAUCAACACCACACUGUCUAAAUUUUAAUACUUAAAACAAUAGUCCUUGAUAUCUGGUACAGUACGUUCUCUAGUUUUAUUCUUUAUUUUUGUAUUUUAUAUAAAUGGCUUUUUCUUUGCAUCUCCAUGUAAGUUUGAGAAUCAGCUUGUUAAUUUCAGGGGAAAACCUUCUGGAUUUUGAUUGAGAUUCCACUGAAUCUGUAAUUGGAGAAGAACUGAUAUGUUUACAAUAUUGAGUCUUCUAGUCCAUAAGCAUGAUACAUCCCUCAAUUUAUUUAGGUCUUACUUAAUUUCAGUUUGUUUAGAUCUUAUUGUAACUCGACACAAAAAUGUUACUAAAAAUUGGAAGUUGAGAUAUAAUUCACAUACCAUGAUAUUUGCUAGUUUGAAGUGCACAAUUUAGUGGCUUUUUAGUAUAUUUAUAAAGUUGUAAAAUCAGUACUGCUAUCUAAUUCCUGGUUAUUAUUAUCACUCCCCAAAGAAACUCCAUACCCGGCAGUAGUCAUUCCUUAUUGUCCCCACCCCCCCAGCAUUGACAACCGCUAGUUACCUUCUGUCUCUAUGGAUUUGCCUCUGCUGGACAUUUCAUAUAAAUCAAACAGGGGUGUCUGGGUGGCACAGUCGGUUAAGCAUCCAACUCUUGGUUUUAGCUCAGUUCAUGAUCUCAGGGGCACGAGAUCGAGCCCUGUUUUGGACUCUGCAGUCAGCGCGGAGUCUUCUUCUUCUUUUUUUUUUUUUUUUAAAGAUUUUAUUUAUUAUUUGACAGAGAGAAUGAGAGAGAGAGAGCACAUGAGAGGGGGGAGGGUCAGAGGGAGAAGCAGACUCCCCGCCGAGCAGGGAGCCCGAUGCGGGACUCGAUCCCGGGACUCCGGGAUCAUGACCUGAGCCGAAGGC
Molecule: long non-coding RNA, 8846 nt
Organism: Mirounga angustirostris (Northern elephant seal)
Lineage: Eukaryota; Metazoa; Chordata; Mammalia; Carnivora; Phocidae
Exons: 3
Source: RefSeq, a predicted model, not a curated record